Molecule: long non-coding RNA, 2391 nt
Filed under: Homo sapiens (human)
Lineage: Eukaryota; Metazoa; Chordata; Mammalia; Primates; Hominidae
Description: HSALNT0138032
Source: RNAcentral
UUUUUCAAUGCUUUUGUAUAUCCUAAAGAGGAAAUAAUUUUCUUCAUCUUCUCCUAUUCAUUGACCUUCUCCGUGUACUAAUUAUAUGCGAUACAAAAAUAAAUAAUAUGCAUCUCUGCUUCCAGGUAGCUUACAGUUUUCCAGGAGAUUCAAGCCCUCAGACAGUGAUUUCUCUGACUGAGAUGAACUUAACACAGGGAGUAGAAAGAGAUGAUUGAUUCGUUCUAGCAGAGAAAGAAAACAAUAGAAUUUGAAUCUAAAAUUAUUUUUAUCUCAUUUUUAAAAUUUUCAGUUUUUAUCUUUGUUGUAUAACAUAUAAAUGUUAGUUCAGUAUAAUAAUCCAUAAGUACAUAUACUUAAUAUAAGUGGUGUAUGCUCAAAAAUUUUCACUGUUAGAGCACAGGAUCAUUACAGUUUAGUCAGCACUGUCCUAACGUAAACCUAAAUAAUACCAUGCUCUGAUGAGUGGUAUUGUGGCAGGUCAUGAGGUGCUGUGGGAACACAAAUCUGGCCAAGUUUGCCAGAAAAUGAGAGGCAUUUCAUGAAAAGCAGAUGAUAUAGUCAAGGUGAUCUUUUUUAUCAUUGAACAUUUGUCAGCUAAUCAUAAACUUUUAUUUAUUGUGAUUAUUAAAUAAGUUUGGUAAUGAUUAUUGAGAGUAAAGUUACAAUUUCUGGUGUGCAAGAUUGCUUUCCCUGACAUGAAUACAUUGUAUCAUUGUUAUGAAUGUAGCCAUCCGUUAGGGGAGGAUUUUAUCACAGACUUGACAUAGACUUCCACUUAACAUGAUUACUCAGUAGCCUCCUUAAACAUCAGGACUAAAGGAAUAACCUUACAUCUUAGAUUACAUUAUUGAAAUCCAAUAACCAAUUUGUUGAUAAAUAAACACCCUUAAAAUUUUAGAUCUUUUGUUCAGUAAUGGCUACAGUAAUAAAAAUGUGCCAAACUAUGUUUGUCAUUUUAAAGCCAUUAUUUCUCAAAAAGAACGGUUUAUGUUUUAGCUGCCAUUUUAAUUAAGCUUGUUAAAAAUGAAAUGGCCUAAGGAUGAACUCUGUAAACUCCACAUGGGCAGGGCCACUGUUGUAUCAUGGCUUUGCCAGUGUGGUGAUGAGAUCAGGACCUGGCAGAUGUGCUUGGUGAACCUAAUGAACAACCACCUGAGGAAUGACGUGAAGGGGGAGGAGAUUACCACCACUACCAUUGGCUGCUAAUUCAAAACUACUGUGAUGGCGUAGAGCUUAUUUUAGAUAUAUCUGUGAUUCAUUAUUCUUUUGUCACACUUCAGCUUGCCAAUUCUGUAACUCCUUGGGAUAUCUUGCUGAGCUUAAUUGCAGCUGCCACUCAUGAUCUGGAUCAUCCAGGUGUUAAUCAACCUUUCCUUAUUAAAACUAACCAUUACUUGGCAACUUUAUACAAGAAUACCUCAGUACUGGAAAAUCACCACUGGAGAUCUGCAGUGGGCUUAUUGAGAGAAUCAGGCUUAUUCUCACAUCUGCCAUUAGAAAGCAGGCAACAAAUGGAGACACAGAUAGGUGCUCUGAUACUAGCCACAGACAUCAGUCGCCAGAAUGAGUAUCUGUCUUUGUUUAGGUCCCAUUUGGAUAGAGGUGAUUUAUGCCUAGAAGACACCAGACACAGACAUUUGGUUUUACAGAUGGCUUUGAAAUGUGCUGAUAUUUGUAACCCAUGUCGGACGUGGGAAUUAAGCAAGCAGUGGAGUGAAAAAGUAACGGAGGAAUUCUUCCAUCAAGGCAAGUUACAGUAUUGAGUGAUAAUUAAUCUAUCCAGUUCAUUUUUUUUUAACAUCGUAAGAAUAAAAUAACUCAAUAAUUUAUAUGGGUCUAGCAGUAGAGUCUUGACAUUUUUAGUAACAAUUCACAAUAGAUAUACAUCUAAUCAAUACAAAUUGAGCAUCUGUUUUGAAAAUUAGAAGUCCUCUUUUGGAAUGAUCAGAUGUAUUUAUGCAUUUAUGAGUAUAGAUAGAUUAGGUUUGGAAUUUUGCUGUACAGAAAGAUUUCCCUGAACUUGCUUUAUCCUUGUCGUGUGUGGAGGGCCAUAUGAACAUGUAAAACUUUUGUGUGUGUAAUUUAAAACCCGGAUCCAGGAAUCUUUAUUUCAUGAACCUUCCUUUCAGGUUGUAUAUUAAUGUGUUAUAAAUUACAGUCUUGGGGUAACACCUUGCAUUUAAAUAAAAAUAUCAGCUUGGCAAUCUCUUCUAUGUGUAAAUAACUUAAAAUUUUAAAAAGAACUAAUUGCGAAGCUGUCCUCUCAUGAGGAUUAAGUAUGUUUUUCCUAAGAAAUGCACAGGUAUGUUCAAGCCUUUAAUUAUAUAUUUAACCAAUAGAUAUUCUUCAUAUUAAUACUUCUCUUUUUUUAAUUUAUAGGAGAUAUAG